RNAcentral lists this ribosomal RNA (642 nucleotides) under Bacillus subtilis. RNAcentral's name for it is "partial 16S ribosomal RNA". It matches the Rfam family "Bacterial small subunit ribosomal RNA", at positions 56 to 679 of the family's 1533-position model. Lineage: Bacteria; Bacillati; Bacillota; Bacilli; Caryophanales; Bacillaceae. The record is from RNAcentral.
UGNAAGUCGAGCGGACCGACGGGAGCUUGCUCCCUUAGGUCAGCGGCGGACGGGUGAGUAACACGUGGGUAACCUGCCUGUAAGACUGGGAUAACUCCGGGAAACCGGGGCUAAUACCGGAUGCUUGAUUGAACCGCAUGGUUCAAUCAUAAAAGGUGGCUUUUAGCUACCACUUACAGAUGGACCCGCGGCGCAUUNNCUAGUUGGUGAGGUAACGGCUCACCAAGGCGANNAUGCGUNNCCGACCUGANAGGGUGAUCGGCCACACUGGGACUGANNCACGGCCCNNACUCCUACGGGAGGCAGCAGUAGGGAAUCUUCCGCAAUGGACGAAAGUCUGACGGANCAACGCCGCGUGAGUGAUGAAGGUUUUCGGAUNGUAAAACUCUGUUGUUAGGGAANAACAAGUACCGUUCGAAUAGGGCGGUACCUUGACGGUACCUAACCAGAAAGCCACGGCUAACUACGUGCCAGCAGCCGCGGUAAUACGUAGGUGGCAAGCGUUGUCCGGAAUUAUUGGGCGUAAAGCGCGCGCAGGCGGUUUCUUAAGUCUGAUGUGAAAGCCCCCGGCUCAACCGGGGAGGGUCAUUGGAAACUGGGGAACUUGAGUGCNGAANANGANAGUGGAAUUCCACGUGUAGC